Molecule: long non-coding RNA, 615 nt
Organism: Centruroides sculpturatus (bark scorpion)
Lineage: Eukaryota; Metazoa; Arthropoda; Arachnida; Scorpiones; Buthidae
Exons: 4
Source: RefSeq, a predicted model, not a curated record
CUUAAACAAGUUAUAUUUAAUGAUGUUGAGACACUGCGACAGACAUCACCUACUAGCGGUCCUUAUAAUCUAAGAAAACGCAAUACUAGCACAGAAAUAAUUGACAUAGAAAGCAGAUGUUGUAUAGGUAUUGAAGGAAAACCGCCAGCAUUAUCAAAAAAACCUAGGUAUUGAUCAUAAAUUUUACUUUUAAACAAACGUGGACUUUGCCUUGUGUGUGUGAGCAGAAUUUGAAUUUUUGUGUUAAACAAAUUAAAUAUCUUGUAAAAUUUUAACGUGUAUAAAAUUUUGCUUAUAUACAACUAUUGUAAAAUUUGUAUUGAAUUGAAUUAUAUAAAACGAAACUUAAUUAUAUUCUGUUUCAUUCCAACUAUUGAAGUGCUAACUUUAUAUAUUUUUUGUACAGUGUGUAAAAUAAGUACUUAACACUUGUAUAUUUUAAACUUUGGAAUAAAUAUCUUGUUAUAUAAUAUGCUAUAUUUACAUUAUGUAAUAUAAUAUGCAUGUUACUGUGUGUUCUAUUGCCAGCGAAAACCAGAAAUUCUCGAAAUUGGUUAACCCAACGUUUCUCAACCUGUUGUUCACAAACAUAUUGAAAUUAAUAAAGAUUAAAAC